UACAGAGGGGGCAAGCGUUGUUCGGAAUUACUGGGCGUAAAGGGCGCGUAGGCGGCCGCCUAAGUCAGACGUGAAAUCCCUCGGCUCAACCGGGGAACUGCGUCUGAUACUGGGUGGCUUGAAUCCGGGAGAGGGAUGCGGAAUUCCAGGUGUAGCGGUAAAUGCGUAGAUAUCGGAAGGAACAUCAGUGGCGAAAGCGACUUCCUGGACCAAUACUGACGCUCAUGUGCGAAAGCGUGGGGAGCAAACAGG
This 252-nucleotide ribosomal RNA is filed under the name uncultured prokaryote. Its description in RNAcentral is "partial 16S ribosomal RNA". It matches the Rfam family "Bacterial small subunit ribosomal RNA", at positions 524 to 776 of the family's 1533-position model. The record is from RNAcentral.